CCUACGGGGCGCAGCAGUGGGGCAUAUUGCACAAUGGGGGAAACCCUGAUGCAGCGACGCCGCGUGAGUGAAGAAGUAAUUCGUUAUGUAAAGCUCUAUCAGCAGGGAAGAAAAUGACGGUACCUGAGUAAGAAGCCCCGGCUAACUACGUGCCAGCAGCCGCGGUAAUACGUCGGGGGCAAGCGUUAUCCGGAUUUACUGGUGGUAAAGGGAGCGUAGACGGCAGUGCAAGUCUGGAGUGAAAGGCGGGGGACAAACCCCCGGACUUCUCUGGAAACUGUACGGAUGGAGUGCAGGAGGGGUAAGUUGAAUUCCUAGUGGAGCGGUGAAAUGCGUAGAGAUUAGGAGGAACACCAGUGGCGAAGGCGGCUUACUGGACUGUAACUGACGUUGAGGCUCGAAAGCGUGGGGAGCAAACAGGAUUAGAUACCCUAGUAGUC
This 440-nucleotide ribosomal RNA is filed under the name uncultured bacterium. RNAcentral's name for it is "partial 16S ribosomal RNA". It matches the Rfam family "Bacterial small subunit ribosomal RNA", at positions 338 to 795 of the family's 1533-position model. The record is from RNAcentral.